This 254-nucleotide ribosomal RNA is filed under the name uncultured bacterium. Its description in RNAcentral is "partial 16S ribosomal RNA". It matches the Rfam family "Bacterial small subunit ribosomal RNA", at positions 796 to 1041 of the family's 1533-position model. The record is from RNAcentral.
CGAGCUGUAAAUUAUGCUUGCUAGAUGUUUUGGACCCUUGUGGUCUGGAGUGUCGUAAUCUAACGAGUUAAGCAAGUCGCCUGUGUAGUAUAUUCGCAAGAAUGAAACACAAAGGGAUAGGCGGGGGAACACACAAGCAGUGGAUUAUCUAGAUUAAUUGGAUACUAAGCCAAGAAUCUUACCUAAACUUGACAUGUACUAUGUCCUAUGUGAAAGCAUAGUAGUCUGAGCAAUCAGGCGUGGUACACAGGUGG